UAACCGUGGUGAGGGCAAAGAGUUUGCAAUUCUUUGUAUCUUUCCCAUGCUUGAUAUAAAGUUUCGUUGUCCUUUUGGAUAAAAGAAGAAAUUUGUUUUUUUAAAGUAG
RNAcentral lists this small nucleolar RNA (109 nucleotides) under Olea europaea subsp. europaea. Its description in RNAcentral is "Plant small nucleolar RNA R71". It matches the Rfam family "Plant small nucleolar RNA R71". Rfam says of the family: R71 is a member of the C/D box family of snoRNAs containing the C (UGAUGA) and D (CUGA) box motifs. Lineage: Eukaryota; Viridiplantae; Streptophyta; Magnoliopsida; Lamiales; Oleaceae. The record is from Rfam by way of RNAcentral.